AAACGAACGCCUGUAGGGUUUUAAAUGCGCAUGUAUACAGUAUACUUGUAUAUAGCCAGUGAAUAAACAAUCACGUGAGCCCGUUACCCUCGAAAUAACGACGUAGGAAAUUAUUUUUGUAGAACACGAUAUUAUGACGAAAAAAACAAUCUCAACUAUGUAUAUAUUAUAAUACCGAACUGUUAAAAAAUACAAUUAUUAAUAUCGACUCGAUAUAGAUAUUGCAUAAUAAUACUUAAAUAUUUAAUACUGGCAGAUGGCGAUCAGACGUGACGCGAUAAAAUAACACACGUCCGAAUAUCUCGGA
Cinara cedri is the source of this 307-nucleotide non-coding RNA. The record is from the annotation of a GenBank genome assembly. Lineage: Eukaryota; Metazoa; Arthropoda; Insecta; Hemiptera; Aphididae.